This 123-nucleotide ribosomal RNA is filed under the name Pteropus alecto (black flying fox). The record is from RNAcentral. Lineage: Eukaryota; Metazoa; Chordata; Mammalia; Chiroptera; Pteropodidae.
GUCAACGGCCAUGCUACCCUGAACAAGCCUGAUCCUAUCUGAUCUUGGAAGCUAACUAAGCAGGGGCGGACCUGGUUAGUACUUGGAUGGGCGACCACCUAGGAAGACCAGGUGCUGUAGGCG